UUGGGUGGCUGCAUAACGCUGCCAGCAUGUAUAUAUUAUCCAUCUCUCCCCACCCCGGCCUAACCCAGAUGCUGCAUGACUGAUUGUACCCCAGAGAAGCUCCAGCCUCUUCAGUGCAGACUGCUGAGGCAGAAGACACUGGAAGGCAAUGCAGUGGUGAAAGGAAACUUCUUGUUCUCAACUUGCAAAUGUAGAAUCUCCCAGUGCUUCCUAAGAGCAGCUGUUUUUACAUAUCAUUGCCCCAUGAAGAUGUACAGUGAAGGAACUUUGCAGGCCUCAAAACAGAAAGGCCGGGAACACAGUAGUAGUCAUCAAAUGGAGAACAACAGGUCAGCUGUAGCCAACAUUUGUUCAUGCAGUUCUUCCCUGAGCAUGAAAUGGAGCAGCCUACUAUUAGUCCUCAUCUUAAGGCUACAUGGUAUCUUCACCAUAAGGACAGGAAAGACUAAUUCUCUUGUUGAGGCAGUAGUGCAUAAAUGGCAUUUCUUAUUUCAGUCUUGCCAGCAUUCAGACGUUAGCAAAGCAUUUCACUGA
This 534-nucleotide long non-coding RNA is filed under the name Coturnix japonica (Japanese quail). RNAcentral's name for it is "lncRNA (ENSCJPG00005020852.1)". Lineage: Eukaryota; Metazoa; Chordata; Aves; Galliformes; Phasianidae. The record is from RNAcentral.